UUUUUUUAAGGUCCCGUUUGGUCCUCUUGCUAAAUUUAGCCAACUAAAAUUAUUUUAGUUACUCUUGGAUGACUAAUAGAUCUAAAAUAUUUAAGCUCUUUUUUAGUCAGUGUUUUUAGAAUUUUAGCUGGUAAAGUGAUUAAAAUUUAGUUGGCUAAAAUUUAGCAAAGGGAACUAAAUAGACGCUUAAUGUAACUCAACUUUACUAGGGAAAAAAAGAUCAAAACUACUGUGAACUUUCUGCAAAUCAAGUAGCAAGAAUCACCAUGACUCAACAAUAAUACACAUCGCAGAUUCACGUACAGUUAAAGAUGAAUGAAGAAGCAACCUAAGAAGCAAAAAGUCUUGCUCUAUGAAUGGUAAAAACGAGCAGGAGAUCUGCCUCUUUUAAAUUGAGAACAUUAUUGAGCAAAAUAACAGCUGUCAACAGGAAUAUUUUGCUCAAAUUUGCUUCAAAUGCAGCAUACAAAUAAGAAAAAGAGAAACUUCCCUGAUGUAUUAAUGGAAGAAACGAGCGAGAAAUAUGCCCCUUCUAAUGUUGAGCAAAAAAAACAGCUGUAGGUAGGAUCAUUUUACUCAAAUUUCCUUCAAAUGCAGCACAGCAAAAAAAAACUUGUUGCAAAAAAAAAAAAGAGCCUGUCAGACAACCCAUGGGCCACCCCAGCUAGGCAGGACCCAACCAGGAACGAUCCUCUACAGCACCAGACCCAGCAUCAAGCUUAAUCCUGGCCGUUAAUCACGCUCUGGCCCACAGGUCAUGACUCAUCAACCAGGCUUAAGUGCUUGCCUCCUUAUUAGUCAAGGAUGCAGCGGUACGAUCCUAUAGAACAGAUCCUGUUCAAGUAAGGUCGUGCUGCAAGGCUCCAGAGCUGAGGUUUUAAGCUGGCUCUCACUCGCCUGAGCAAGCGAGGUGGUGCUAAUCGGUGGGACUGGGCGACUGGCCAGCAAUCCCACUCCCACCCAGCAUGUUGCGUACUGGGCCGCUCCAUUCUGGUAUAUGCUCCCCUAUGUGUGGGCUUCAGGUCGAGCCGGCCCAUCGAGGCUGCAUUAGCUUUACCUCUGUUGAUGAUGCUGAUUCCUCACCUAAGCUCAGCUGAUUCCUAGUAGGUGAUUAUAGUUGGCCCUCCACAGAGCUAAGCAUAAAAAUGUUACUACUAACCAUCACAAAUCGGUGUAAACACAACAGUAUGAAGUACGUCAUAAUGAGCUAAGCAGCAAUGGGCGAUGUUGUGCGAGUGCGUCGUCGUCUCUCAUCUAAAAUCGAUUGCCUUGUACUACACCGUCGACUGGCCUGGAGAGAUCGGCGUCCAGCAGGAGCAUAGCCAAGGCUGGCUCCAUUUCUGACGACCAUCGGCACCAUGGGCUCGGCAAGCUCCGAGCAGGAGCUGCCUAGCUAUUAGCAUCUCGACAACCGCGCGCGGGCGUGCCGGGCUUCUCGUCAGGCUUUUCUUGGACGCAGAGGAGGCCGACCACAAUUGAGUUCUUAAAGGCCUUGUUUAGUUGGUGAAAAUCUUUUAUUGUAAUAAUUUUAUUUGUAUUUGAUAAUUAUUAUCUAAUUAUAGACUAACUAUGUUUAAAAGAUUCGUCUUAUAAAUUACACAAACGGUAGAAUUAGUUAUUUUUUAUCUAUAUUUAAUGCUCUAUAUAUGUGUCCAA
This 1656-nucleotide long non-coding RNA is filed under the name Sorghum bicolor (sorghum). RNAcentral describes it as "long non-coding RNA (SBIC_LNC001585)". Lineage: Eukaryota; Viridiplantae; Streptophyta; Magnoliopsida; Poales; Poaceae. The record is from RNAcentral.